RNAcentral lists this ribosomal RNA (492 nucleotides) under uncultured bacterium. Its description in RNAcentral is "partial 16S ribosomal RNA". It matches the Rfam family "Bacterial small subunit ribosomal RNA", at positions 29 to 507 of the family's 1533-position model. The record is from RNAcentral.
AGUGAACGCUGGCGGUAGGCCUAACACAUGCAAGUCGAACGGCAGCACAGUAAGAGCUUGCUCUUACGGGUGGCGAGUGGCGGACGGGUGAGGAAUACAUCGGAAUCUACUUUUUCGUGGGGGAUAACGUAGGGAAACUUACGCUAAUACCGCAUACGACCUACGGGUGAAAGCAGGGGAUCCUCGGACCUUGCGCGAUUGAAUGAGCCGAUGUCGGAUUAGCUAGUUGGCGGGGUAAAGGCCCACCAAGGCGACGAUCCGUAGCUGGUCUGAGAGGAUGAUCAGCCACACUGGAACUGAGACACGGUCCAGACUCCUACGGGAGGCAGCAGUGGGGAAUAUUGGACAAUGGGCGCAAGCCUGAUCCAGCCAUACCGCGUGGGUGAAGAAGGCCUUCGGGUUGUAAAACCCUUUUGUUGGGAAAGAAAAGCAGCAGGUUAAUACCCCGCUGUUCUGACGGUACCCAAAGAAUAAGCACCGGCUAACUUCGUG